Molecule: long non-coding RNA, 652 nt
Organism: Ornithodoros turicata
Lineage: Eukaryota; Metazoa; Arthropoda; Arachnida; Ixodida; Argasidae
Exons: 3
Source: RefSeq, a predicted model, not a curated record
CAGUACGUGUUUUGAAAUGUCGUUGCUGUUGGUCGUCGGGCUCGUCGGUUCGCAGUUUUCGUCUUUCAACUCUUCAAAACGGGCAAAAACGUGAAUAUUUAGAAUCUCAGUCGUCAGGCACUGCAUUAUGUACAACUGCUUGUGUUACAACUUCUGCACCAGCUCAGUCGGAAGAAACUACAAGCGAUGCGCAGGACUGCAAUUACGCUGCUUGCAGUUUGUCAUACAAAUGGAGGAGACUUGCAGGAUGCUUACGAAUCAUGCAGAACAAGGGCCAGCUACUGAAAAGAGGUAUGUGGCAUAUGAUUGUUGCAGGAAAACAUUUACGUGUACUUUUGCGAAAAGUUUUUCUACAGGUUUUCUCACUGAAACUGAAUUCCCAGUUUAUCGCUUCAAUAUGCACUACGUUUAUGUAAUUUUGUCCUCGGAUGAGGCAAGAAUGGAUCCAGUCUCAUCUGUCACGAGGUGUCCUUCAGAAUGAGAUGCGGAGAAAGGUCACUUGCGCCACUCUCACUGCACCGCCGAAUUUUAUGGCAAGUCGAGUCCUUUCCUUCCAGUUAUGCGGCUGUCAUAAUGAACGCCACUUUGCCAGUGCUUAAGUUUUUUCAGUAAGCAAAGUUGCAAAGCAAAGUUCUGUAAAGUCAGUUGUGAC